UCGAGGAUCUUCGGCAAUGGGCGCAAGCCUGACCGAGCGACGCCGCGUGUGCGAUGAAGGCCUUCGGGUUGUAAAGCACUGUCGAGGGGGAGGAAGCCGCAAGGUUGACCUAUCCCUGGAGGAAGCACGGGCUAAGUUCGUGCCAGCAGCCGCGGUAAGACGAACCGUGCAAACGUUGUUCGGAAUCACUGGGCUUAAAGGGCGCGUAGGCGGCUUGCCAAGUCGGGGGUGAAAUACUUCAGCUUAACUGGAGAAGUGCCUUCGAUACUGGCGGGCUCGAGGGAGGUAGGGGCAUGUGGAACUUCUGGUGGAGCGGUGAAAUGCGUUGAUAUCAGAAGGAACGCCGGUGGCGAAAGCGACGUGCUGGACCUCUUCUGACGCUGAGGCGCGAAAGCUAGGGGAGCAAACGGGAUUAGAUACCCCCGUAGUCC
This 431-nucleotide ribosomal RNA is filed under the name uncultured bacterium. RNAcentral's name for it is "bacterial SSU rRNA". It matches the Rfam family "Bacterial small subunit ribosomal RNA", at positions 355 to 796 of the family's 1533-position model. The record is from RNAcentral.